GUGAAAAGAUAAUAUUUUUAUUAUUUUUUAAAAAUAUUUAUUUUCUAAUAUUUGUAUAAUUUUAUAAUGCAACGUUUGGUUCAGAUAUAAGUAAGAACUAGCUAUUACAGAGAUAUGUACAAGUAUCAUCAGGAUAAAAAAAAUAACGUUUAGAUGAAAAUUAGGUUGUUCCCGAAAUAAAAAAAAUAACGUUUGGAUAGAUAAUAUGGAAUAAAAAAAAUAGUGGAUAGUUAUAUAUAAAAAAUGGAGGUGUUGAUGGAAAUAGUUAAAUCUGGUUAUUAUAGACAACCGAGAAUUACUAUUUUUGGAUAAAAAAUUAGCGUUUGGGUAUAAAGGGUAUAUGAUUUAUAACUUCUUGGCAAAUAAUAUGAAAAUAUUUAAAACGGUAA
Molecule: long non-coding RNA, 389 nt
Filed under: Ananas comosus (pineapple)
Lineage: Eukaryota; Viridiplantae; Streptophyta; Magnoliopsida; Poales; Bromeliaceae
Description: long non-coding RNA (ACOM_LNC032021)
Source: RNAcentral